This 382-nucleotide long non-coding RNA is filed under the name Homo sapiens (human). RNAcentral describes it as "non-protein coding lnc-INTS7-2:1". Lineage: Eukaryota; Metazoa; Chordata; Mammalia; Primates; Hominidae. The record is from RNAcentral.
ACUUUAAAUGGAUGAAUUUUAUGGCUUGUUCAUUUUAUCUUAAGUUUAGGAUAACUGAAAAAAAACAAAACCUCAAGGAUGCAUGGGAUAAUUUAGAAAAGUCAAAUACAUGAGUAAUUGAAAAAAAAUAUAUAUAUAUGGGUAAUUAAGGUAACAGAAGAAGCAGGGAGGAGAGAUAGGCAAGAAAGACCUCCUCAAUCAAGUGGAAGAACAGCAAGUACAAAGGCCCUGAGGUAGAAGCCUCCUUUGCAUGCAGUUAUCUGGAGCAAAGUAAUAGGCAAUGAGUAUAGAAAGAUAACCAGAGUCAGUCGGGCGUGGUGGUUCACGCCUGUAAUCCCCGCACUUUGGGAAGCUGAGGCGGGCGGAUCACGAAGUCAGGAGA